UACGUAGGUGGCAAGCGUUGUCCGGAUUUAUUGGGCUUAAAGGGUGCGUAGGCGGCUCUGUAAGUCAGUGCUGAAAUAUCCCGGCUUAACCGGGAGGGUGGCAUUGAUACUGCGGGGCUAGAGUACAGAUGAGGUAGGCGGAAUUGACGGUGUAGCGGUGAAAUGCUUAGAUAUCGUCAAGAACACCUAUAGCGAAGGCAGCUUGCUAGGCUGUAACUGACGCUGAGGCACGAAAGUGUGGGGAUCAAACAGG
This 253-nucleotide ribosomal RNA is filed under the name uncultured bacterium. Its description in RNAcentral is "partial 16S ribosomal RNA". It matches the Rfam family "Bacterial small subunit ribosomal RNA", at positions 524 to 776 of the family's 1533-position model. The record is from RNAcentral.